Molecule: ribosomal RNA, 497 nt
Filed under: uncultured bacterium
Lineage: Bacteria
Description: partial 16S ribosomal RNA
Rfam family: Bacterial small subunit ribosomal RNA
Source: RNAcentral
GAUGAACGCUGGCGGCGUGCCUAAUACAUGCAAGUCGAGCGAACGGACGAGAAGCUUGCUUCUCUGAUGUUAGCGGCGGACGGGUGAGUAACACGUGGAUAACCUACCUAUAAGACUGGGAUCACUUCGGGAAACCGGCGCUUAUCCCGUAUAAUAUUUUGAUCCGCAUGGUUCAAAAGUGAAUUACGGUCUUGGUGUAUGUUAUAGAUGGAUCCGCGCUGCAUUAGCUGGUUGGUAAGGUAACGGCUUAUCAAGGCAACGAUGCAUAGGCGACCUAAGAGGGUGAUCGGCCACACGGGAACUGAGACACGGACCAGACUCCUACGGGAGGCAGCAGUAGGGAAUCGGCCGCAGUAGGCGAAAGCAUUACGGAGCAACGCCAAGUGAGAGAUGAAGGUGUUCGGAGCGUAAAACUCUGUUAUGAGGUAAGAACAUAUGUGUAAGUAACUGUACACAGCGUGACGGUAACUAAUAAGAAAGCCACGGCUAACUACGUG